GCACGUAUAGAUGGACAAGAAUAGGCUUCGGCUUAGCGUCUUAGCAGGCGAUUCUUCCACGGCGCUCGAAGCGCGUCGUGGUAUUUCGCGUAUUGUAAUUUCAACACGAGCGGGGUCAAAUCCUUUGCAGACGACUUAGCUGUGCGAAACGGUCCUGUAAGCAGUAGAGUAGCCUUGUUGUUACGAUCUGCUGAGGGUAAGCCGUCCUUCGCCUCGAUUUCCCCAAUGGGUUCUCCGGAUUUCUGGAGACUUGUAGGGGUUGUGGGAUUUUUGAUGUGUCGUCUCCGGACGGGCGGUGCAGGGUAGUCGAGUUAGACUUGGUGGAAUUCCGUCGAUAGGAGUUCCGUCGAGUCUGGUCGGCUGUGUGUUGGACGGUGCAGGGUAGGCUGCUUGGACAUGGUCGGUUCGAGAUCGAUUCGAGGGCCGGCGCCUGUCGAUGAUGUGUGAUGUAUGCGGUCUAGGGUAGGCUGGUUUCGUCCUCGCCAGGUUGCGACUUGGACGAGAUAUGUGGUCUAGGGUAGGCUCUAGGGUAAGCAGAACUCGAGUUUCGUCGCCGACAGUUUUCUGUGGGUGUAUGGUAGGUGCAGGGUAGGCAAAUCUCUCUCCGGCCAGUACUUGUCUGGUGGUCGUGAGUCGAUUUUUUUGUUUUGCCAUACUAUUGAAUUUUGCGGAAAUUCAAAAGUGGCUCGGGAGUCCCGCCUGGCGUGCGUCCAACUCGAACAUCGUCGGUGUACAUAUGAGAGGGAGUAAUCCGGCCCGGCCGGGGCCCAUCGCGAGCUGCCGGGUAGGUAAAAGUAAAAAAGUUGUUAAGAGGCGCGGUGUCGGCGUGCUUGUAUCUGCGGGAGAGAAUUAUCUGGAGGUGCUGGGUAGCCGGGAAUACUUGGACGGAUCUGGGCCCGGGAAUGGGUCUGGGCCUGGAUUCUGGUGUGGUGUAGGGUAGGCGUAGAUAGAUGAGUGGUCUAGGGUAGAUACAGGGUAGCCAGAAGUCUGGUAUAUAGUAUUGGGGGGGUGUAGGGUAGGUCUGGACACCGUUUUCCACUUCGCCCUCCCCUUUACUCGAGGGAGGACGAUCUUGGCUGGGACGGAGGUGUAGGGUAGGCUUAAUUUACGAUUACAUGAUCUGUGUUACUCUAGGGUAGGUGAAAAUCCUAUAUAUAUCUGAUCACAUUUGGUGAAGAGGUGGUUUGGCUGGUGAGAUGGACAAAAGUGCAAUGUAGAAUUAUAUGUGAUUUUGCAAAAGUGGGUGUGAAAUUGGAAAGUCGGUUUUCCCGCACAGAUGAGAGCACGUUUGAGGUGCCAUGAGAUGCACCUCUCCGAGACGACCUCAACGGUACCACCCAUGUGUUGGUCGGGCUCCUGUGCGGCCGUCCAGGGCGGGAUAAGUAGAGAAUGUGGUGGUGUAGGGUAGGUGACCAGGUCCAGGGUAGGUUCGCCAAAUCCGUCAAUCCGGCUUGAAUCGAAGGACAGGUCUAGGGUAGGCCAGAGUCGGGUCUAGGGUAGGCAACCCUCACCCUCGAAGUGGUCUACCCGGUAGCCAACUUCAAUCGCCUCUCACGGCCGCCACGGACCUCGCAUGACGACGGGACUACCACCAUCGGAUUCGCCUUGGUCGAAAUAGCUGGUAUAUGCACUUUUGAAAAAAUGCGUGCAAAAUGGUUUUGUGGUUUGGUGGCCGUGAGUCGAUUUUUUUGUUUUCCCAUACAAAUGAAUUUUGCGGAAAAUAAAAAGUGGCCCACGAGGCAGUCCUGGCGUGCGGCCCACUAAAACGGUCUCGGAGGGUAUAUGAGAAGGGAGCAAAUCCGGCCGAGCCUGAAAGGGUGAGGACAAACCGGGCGAGCAACCUCUCAGUAUCAGAUCUUGCAGACUUCCACUGCGUGUCCCUCUGUACAGCUUUGCAGGCUCCGGCCUCGGCAGCGGGGGGUUCAUAGUGGUCGUCGACCUCCACGAAACUGCACGCUCCGGCGUGACAGCGUACUGGGGAUGCCUGUGUAGAUGCAGUCCGGGCUUGCCUGGACCGCUAGCAGAUGGGCUCUGUGGAUGACUGGCCGCUGGCUAGACCUGAAACCUGAGCAACGGGAGGUAACCUCUCGCCGCGGACACCGGAAUGGUAGAAGCGGCGUGCUGCGUCCUCCUCUUGGGGCCCCUAAGCCACACCUCCCACAGCGGGUUCGGUGCGGCGGACGGACGCCCUGGGGAAUUUAGAGGGGGAAAGCGGAUUGCCCUAGCGGUGUUGUUGGCCCUGCCGACCUCACUGCGAAAGGCGCGACUUCACCGUCGCCACCCAGUAACUUGUCUCUCCGGCGCUUCACGGCGCUGGUGGCCAACCCCGGCACACGA
Molecule: unclassified non-coding RNA, 2337 nt
Filed under: Fusarium oxysporum
Lineage: Eukaryota; Fungi; Ascomycota; Sordariomycetes; Hypocreales; Nectriaceae
Description: partial contains 28S ribosomal RNA, 28S-18S ribosomal RNA intergenic spacer and 18S ribosomal RNA
Rfam family: Eukaryotic large subunit ribosomal RNA (bases 1-222)
Source: RNAcentral